UACGAAGGGGGCUAGCGUUGUUCGGAAUUACUGGGCGUAAAGCGCGCGUAGGCGGAUUUGUAAGUCAGGGGUGAAAUGCCAGGGCUUAACCUUGGAACUGCCUUUGAUACUGCAGGUCUGGAGUACGGGAGAGGUGAGUGGAAUUCCGAGUGUAGAGGUGAAAUUCGUAGAUAUUCGGAGGAACACCAGAAGCGAAGGCGGCUCACUGGCCCGAUACUGACGCUGAGGCGCGAAAGCGUGGGGAGCAAACAGG
This 253-nucleotide ribosomal RNA is filed under the name uncultured bacterium. RNAcentral's name for it is "partial 16S ribosomal RNA". It matches the Rfam family "Bacterial small subunit ribosomal RNA", at positions 524 to 776 of the family's 1533-position model. The record is from RNAcentral.